CAGCCGCCGCGGUAAUACGUAGGGGGCGAGCGUUGUCCGGAGUUACUGGGCGUAAAGAGCGCGUAGGCGGGUCUUUAAGUGAGGGGUGAAAGGUUCAGGGCUCAAUCCGGACACUGCCUUUCAUACUGGAGACCUUGAGUGUGGGAGAGGCGAGUGGAAUGGUCGGUGUAGCGGUGAGAUGCGUAGAUAUCGAUCGGAACACCCAUGGCGAAGGCAGCUCGCUGGCCUAUAACUGACGCUGAGGCGCGAAAGCGUGGGGAGCAAACAGGAUUAGAUACCCCGGUAGUCCCUGUCUCUUAUA
RNAcentral lists this ribosomal RNA (301 nucleotides) under uncultured bacterium. RNAcentral describes it as "partial 16S ribosomal RNA". It matches the Rfam family "Bacterial small subunit ribosomal RNA", at positions 509 to 808 of the family's 1533-position model. The record is from RNAcentral.